Molecule: non-coding RNA, 465 nt
Organism: Pelobates cultripes (western spadefoot toad)
Lineage: Eukaryota; Metazoa; Chordata; Amphibia; Anura; Pelobatidae
Source: the annotation of a GenBank genome assembly
GAGACAUACCUGGGUAGCGGACUUGGUGUGCUAUCGUCGUUUCAUGGACGAUAUAUUUUUUAUCUGGACGGGAACUAGGACAGAGUUAGAUGUUUUUAUCACCUUUUUAAAUAAAAAUUAUUGGAAUAUUGUUUUAACGGCGCAAAUAAGUGAGGAAAGUAUAAAUUUUUUAGAUCUCGAUAUCAAUAUCACAAAUACCUGCAUUACCACAAAGAAUCAUUUUAAAGAAGUGGAUGCAAAUGGAUACAUUCGGAGAGAGAGCUGUCAUUACACACCCUGGCUAAGAAAUGCACCUAGAGGACAAUUUUUAAGAAUUAGGCGCAAUUGUACCAAUGACGAAGACUACUUAUUACAGGCAGGAAGGAUAAAGACCCAAUUUCUACAAAAAGGAUAUGCAGAAAUAGAUUUACAGGCCUCUCCAGAAGAUGUUCGCACAAUACCUAGAAAGAACCUUUUAAUAUACAA